Molecule: ribosomal RNA, 440 nt
Filed under: uncultured bacterium
Lineage: Bacteria
Description: partial 16S ribosomal RNA
Rfam family: Bacterial small subunit ribosomal RNA
Source: RNAcentral
CCUACGGCGCGCAGCAGUGGGGAAUAUUGCACAAUGGGGUAAACCCUGAUGCAGCGCCGCCGCGUGAGUGAAGAAGUAUUUCGGUAUGUAACGCUCUAUCAGCAGGGAAGAAAAUGACUGUACCUGAUUAAGAAGCCCCGGCUAACUACGUGCCAGCACCCGCGGUAAUACGUAGGGGGCAAACGUUAUCCGGAUUUACUGGGUGUAAAGGGAGCGUAGACAGCAGCACAAGUAUGGAGUGAACUGCCGGGGCUUAACCCCGGAACUGCUUUGGAAACUGUGCAGCUAGAGUGCAGGAGAGGUAAGUGGAAUGCCUAGUGUAGCGGUGAAAUGCGUAGAUAUUAGGAGGAACACCAGUGGCGAAGGCGGCUUACUGGACUGUAACUGACGUUGAGGCUCGAAAGCGUGGGGAGCAAACAGGAUUAGAUACCCGAGUAGUC